GACGAACGCUGGCGGCGUGCUUAACACAUGCAAGUCGAACGGAGCACCCUUGACUGAGGUUUCGGCCAAAUGAUAGGAAUGCUUAGUGGCGGACUGGUGAGUAACGCGUGAGGAACCUGCCUUCCAGAGGGGGACAACAGUUGGAAACGACUGCUAAUACCGCAUGACGCAUGACCGGGGCAUCCCGGGCAUGUCAAAGAUUUUAUCGCUGGAAGAUGGCCUCGCGUCUGAUUAGCUAGAUGGUGGGGUAACGGCCCACCAUGGCGACGAUCAGUAGCCGGACUGAGAGGUUGACCGGCCACAUUGGGACUGAGAUACGGCCCAGACUCCCACGGGAGGCAGCAGUGGGGAAUAUUGGGCAAUGGACGCAAGUCUGACCCAGCAACGCCGCGUGAAGGAAGAAGGCUUUCGGGUUGUAAACUUCUUU
This 427-nucleotide ribosomal RNA is filed under the name uncultured bacterium. Its description in RNAcentral is "bacterial SSU rRNA". It matches the Rfam family "Bacterial small subunit ribosomal RNA", at positions 28 to 436 of the family's 1533-position model. The record is from RNAcentral.